UACGUAGGGUGCGAGCGUUAAUCGGAAUUACUGGGCGUAAAGCGUGCGCAGGUGGUUCGUCAAGUCUGAUGUGAAAGCCCCGGGCUCAACCUGGGAAUGGCAUUGGAAACUAGCGGGCUUGAGUGUGGCAGAGGGGGGUGGAAUUCCACGUGUAGCAGUGAAAUGCGUAGAGAUGUGGAGGAACACCGAUGGCGAAGGCAGCCUCCUGGGCCAACACUGACGCUCAUGCACGAAAGCGUGGGGAGCAAACAGG
This 253-nucleotide ribosomal RNA is filed under the name uncultured bacterium. RNAcentral describes it as "partial 16S ribosomal RNA". It matches the Rfam family "Bacterial small subunit ribosomal RNA", at positions 524 to 776 of the family's 1533-position model. The record is from RNAcentral.